CUAGUACUGAAAGCAUACGCUACAGCUAGCUAGCACUGUAGUGCAUAACAUGUGAAACACAAGUGUUCUCUCACGUUGGACCUCUGGGCAACAUCCUCUCCAGAAUCGCUUCUUUGUGUUUUUGUGUGGAUGCCCUCCAUCCUAUGACGAGAACGACGCCAAGCUCUUUGAGCAGAUUCUGAAGGCUGAAUAGGAGUUUGACUCUCCUUACUGGGGCCCUAUCUCCAACUCAGGUACGGUAGUCCUCCACUCUCAGAUGAAAGAGACAUAAAUCCAAGUCCAUUUCAAUAUAUAUUACAUUAUGUUGCCAGUAUUACUCCACUUUGUCAGUGAUUUCGUAUUAUUGGAAAUGGCUACCUGGGAUUGGUGUUUCUUUGAGCGUGUGCCAAACUGUCAGUGUGUGUAUGGGAUUAGCCAUUAUACACUGACUGGCCAAGGAACAGAUUCACUGUGUGUGAGAUCAUUACUUAGAGAGCACCAGGGAUCAUGGUACACAGAGAACUUAGAGACCUGCAGGACUGGUUAGAAGUCCAGCCAAUGCCAGGCUGGAGUCUGGCCAGUGUUUUUUUACUGCAGUGAAGCUCCUUGUUGG
Long non-coding RNA from Oncorhynchus tshawytscha (Chinook salmon), 592 nucleotides. Lineage: Eukaryota; Metazoa; Chordata; Actinopteri; Salmoniformes; Salmonidae. The record is from Ensembl.